RNAcentral lists this ribosomal RNA (205 nucleotides) under Troglophilus marinae. Its description in RNAcentral is "partial 12S ribosomal RNA". Lineage: Eukaryota; Metazoa; Arthropoda; Insecta; Orthoptera; Rhaphidophoridae. The record is from RNAcentral.
CGAUAGUUCACGUUUAAUUUUGCUUAUUUUUGUAAAAUCAGCUUGUAUACCGCCGUCAUCAGAUUAUCUUUUUAGAGGAUGAUUUUUCUUUAUAUUUAAGUAAAUAGAAUGUCAGGUCAAGGUGCAGUUUAUAUAUAAGUGGAGAUGGAUUACAAUAAAGUAAGUUAUAUGGAUAUCAAUUUGAAAUGAUUUGUUGAAGGUGGAU